GACCGUGUAGCUCAGUUGGCAAAGCAUUGGGCUAGUAUUCCAAAGGUCGUAGGUUCGAAUCCCACCGCAGCCA
Molecule: transfer RNA, 73 nt
Filed under: Paramuricea clavata
Lineage: Eukaryota; Metazoa; Cnidaria; Anthozoa; Malacalcyonacea; Plexauridae
Rfam family: tRNA
About the family: Transfer RNA (tRNA) molecules are approximately 80 nucleotides in length.
Source: Rfam by way of RNAcentral